AGAGUUUGAUCCUGGCUCAGGAUGAACGCUAGCGACAGGCUUAACACAUGCAAGUCGAGGGGCAGCGGGGAGGUAGCAAUACUUCCGCCGGCGACCGGCGCACGGGUGAGUAACACGUAUGGAACCUGCCCGUAGCAGGGGGAUAAGCGGAAGAAAUUCCGUCUAAUACCGCGUAAUAACUCCGAGGGGCAUCCCUUGGGGUUUAAAGGGUAACACCGGCUACGGAUGGCCAUGCGGCGCAUUAGCUAGUUGGCGGGGCAACGGCCCACCAAGGCGACGAUGCGUAGGGGUUCUGAGAGGAAGGUCCCCCACACUGGUACUGAGACACGGACCAGACUCCUACGGGAGGCAGCAGUGAGGAAUAUUGGUCAAUGGGCGCGAGCCUGAACCAGCCAAGUCGCGUGAGGGAAGACGGUCCUAUGGAUUGUAAACCUCUUUUGUCGGGGAGCAAAAGACGCCACGCGUGGCGUUCCGAGAGUACCCGAAGAAAAAGCAUCGGCUAACUCCGUGCCAGCAGCCGCGGUAAUACGGAGGAUGCGAGCGUUAUCCGGAUUUAUUGGGUUUAAAGGGUGCGCAGGCGGAAGAUCAAGUCAGCGGUAAAAUUGAGAGGCUCAACCUCUUCGAGCCGUUGAAACUGGUUUUCUUGAGUGAGCGAGAAGUAUGCGGAAUGCGUGGUGUAGCGGUGAAAUGCAUAGAUAUCACGCAGAACUCCGAUUGCGAAGGCAGCAUACCGGCGCUCAACUGACGCUCAUGCACGAAAGUGUGGGUAUCGAACAGGAUUAGAUACCCUGGUAGUCCACACAGUAAACGAUGAAUACUAAUUGUUCGGGGAGAAUGAUCCCUGAGUGAUACAGCGAAAGCGUUAAGUAUUCCACCUGGGGAGUACGCCGGCAACGGUGAAACUCAAAGGAAUUGACGGGGGCCCGCACAAGCGGAGGAACAUGUGGUUUAAUUCGAUGAUACGCGAGGAACCUUACCCGGGCUCAAACGACACAGGAAUACUUUUGAAAGGAGGUAGCUCUACGGAGCCUGUGUCGAGGUGCUGCAUGGUUGUCGUCAGCUCGUGCCGUGAGGUGUCGGCUUAAGUGCCAUAACGAGCGCAACCCCCAUCGCCAGUUACCAGCAAGUCAAGUUGGGGACUCUGGCGAGACUGCCGGCGCAAGCUGUGAGGAAGGCGGGGAUGACGUCAAAUCAGCACGGCCCUUACGUCCGGGGCGACACACGUGUUACAAUGGCAGGUACAGAGAGAAGCAAUGCGGCGACGCAAAGCGGAACUUGAAAGCCUGUCUCAGUUCGGAUUGGAGUCUGCAACUCGACUCCAUGAAGCUGGAUUCGCUAGUAAUCGCGCAUCAGCCAUGGCGCGGUGAAUACGUUCCCGGGCCUUGUACACACCGCCCGUCAAGCCAUGGAAGCCGGGAGUGCCUGAAGUGUGCAACCGCAAGGAGCGCCCUAAGGUAAAACUGGUGACUGGGGCUAAGUCGUAACAAGGUAACC
This 1494-nucleotide ribosomal RNA is filed under the name uncultured bacterium. RNAcentral describes it as "bacterial SSU rRNA". It matches the Rfam family "Bacterial small subunit ribosomal RNA". The record is from RNAcentral.